Molecule: long non-coding RNA, 1099 nt
Organism: Equus quagga
Lineage: Eukaryota; Metazoa; Chordata; Mammalia; Perissodactyla; Equidae
Exons: 6
Source: RefSeq, a predicted model, not a curated record
AGAAAGAAACUAAAGACAAAACUGGUUGAGGACACAGCCCGUUUAAAGGAUAGUCUGGUCAUGAUUGAGCUAACGUGAAUCACAAGAAAAACCACGUGCUUGUGUGGAGCAACGAUCGAGUGAUUCGCUGGAUCCUCUCAAUUGGUCUUAAAGAAUAUGCAAACAAUCUGGUUGAGAGUGGCGUUCACGGUGCACUUGUGGCCUUAGAUGAAACCUUCGAUUUCAGCGCACUGGCGCUCUUGUUACAGAUCCCUACGCAGAACACACAGGCUCGCGCUGUCUUGGAAAGAGAAUUUAACAACCUUUUGGUCAUGGGGACGGACAGAAGGUUUGAUGAAGACCAUGAUAAAAGCUUUAGGAGAGCACCUUCUUGGAGAAAAAAAUUUAGACCAAAGGAUGUUCGUGGCUUAGCUGCUGGGUCCGCAGAGACUCUCCCCGCCAACUUCUGGGUCACCUCCUCUCUGUCCUCACCCUCCAUGCAGCCAAAGAAGACGCAGCUGGACGGCAGCGUGUCGGGAGCGCAGAGGCUGGACGCCGCCACGGUCAGGACUUACUCCUGCUGAAGCCCCGUGUUUACCCACACUACUUCUACAGAUGACCGUGCAGCGCUCGGGACCCGGCGAAGACGGCCUUUCAGAAUUCAGUGGAUCUGCAAUCUGUUGAUACUUGUUAUAUGGACCCUAAGAUAUUUUAUUACAGAGUUUUUAAUUAGUGAAAAAUUCACGAAUACCAUAGAGAAAAUAUUUUAGAAUUUAAUGUUUCUUAUAUUUAUGUAAACAUAUGACUUCAUUUAUAUAGUUACUUACUUUUUCAUAUCCAGGCUAUAAAUAUCCUUUCAAAUCGAUUCUGUUCUUAUAUCUAAUUUUAGUCUUUCAAACAAAUGUACUGUAAUGCUUGUAUGUAUAAAUCCUAUGAAAAGAUAUAGGGCUUUUGUAAAUUAUGCAUUUAUUGUAAUUAUCAUUAAUUUUUUAAUAAUAAUCGGCGAGAGAGAAGAGGAUUUUACUGCAUUUGCAUUUGUAAGAUCAUCAUGACAUGGUGCGCGUUAUCCUGACAAAUGUAACAGCUCUACAACAAUCAUUUUGAAACAAGCAGACUUAAU